UACGGAGGGUGCUAGCGUUGUUCGGAUUUACUGGGCGUAAAGGGUGCGUAGGCGGCCAGAUCAGUCGGGUGUGAAAGCCCGGGGCUCAACCCCGGAACGGCACCCGAGACGGUUUGGCUGGAGACCGGGAGAGGAGGGUGGAAUAGCCAGUGUAGAGGUGAAAUUCGUAGAUAUUGGGUGGAACACCGGUGGCGAAAGCGGCUCACUGGCCCGAUACUGACGCUGAGGUGCGAAAGCGUGGGGAGCGAUCAGG
Molecule: ribosomal RNA, 253 nt
Filed under: uncultured bacterium
Lineage: Bacteria
Description: partial 16S ribosomal RNA
Rfam family: Bacterial small subunit ribosomal RNA
Source: RNAcentral